This 149-nucleotide long non-coding RNA is filed under the name Mustela putorius furo (domestic ferret). RNAcentral describes it as "lncRNA (ENSMPUG00000025391.1)". Lineage: Eukaryota; Metazoa; Chordata; Mammalia; Carnivora; Mustelidae. The record is from RNAcentral.
UUUUGAGCAAUGCCACUAGGCAGAUGUUGCUUUGAGGAAAUCAAGUCUUGGAACUUACACAGGAAAUGUGGAGCAAAGAACAAACAAUUCUGGUAGAAUGACAGGUGCCGCCUACUGGAUACUAUCAGAAUUGCUUGUGGAGUGAGAAG